Molecule: ribosomal RNA, 292 nt
Filed under: uncultured bacterium
Lineage: Bacteria
Description: partial 16S ribosomal RNA
Rfam family: Bacterial small subunit ribosomal RNA
Source: RNAcentral
GUGUCAGCAGCCGCGGUAAGACGGAGGCCCCGAGCGUUGUUCGGAAUCACUGGGCUUAAAGCGCGUGUAGGCGGGACGGUAAGUACCUUGUGAAAUCCCCGGCUUCAACCCGGGAACUGCUCGGUAUACUGCCGUUCUUGAGGCAGGUAGGGGUCGCUGGAACCUUAGGUGGAGCGGUGAAAUGCGUAGAUAUCUAAGGGAACGCCUGUGGCGAAAGCGGGCGACUGGGCCUGUCCUGACGCUGAGACGCGAAAGCGUAGGGAGCAAACGGGAUUAGAAACCCCCGUAGUCC